AAGAUAAAUAAAUAAAAAUGAAAAUAAAAUAAAAAGUAAAAAAAUAAAAUAAAGUAUUAAAAAAAAGGUGCAGAGGUGCCUAAAUAAGAAAAUGAGGUGUCUAAACCACUUAUUUCUAAUAUGAAAAGAUUGGAACUAAGCCCAAGCGAAAAAAGGGUGGUGAAAAUAAAAGCAAGGGUGUCUGAACCAUUUUUCCCUUUUAAAGCUCCAAUAUUAACUACUUAGCCAUAACGUGUUAGCCUUCUUGUUUCACAGUUUUGGACCAUUCAUGGUAGACCAUUUUUCUUUUGUGCAGGAUAUAGCCCGAGUAGACCUUGGUCUCUCUCCC
Molecule: long non-coding RNA, 328 nt
Filed under: Vigna radiata
Lineage: Eukaryota; Viridiplantae; Streptophyta; Magnoliopsida; Fabales; Fabaceae
Description: long non-coding RNA (VRAD_LNC011271)
Source: RNAcentral